Long non-coding RNA from Loxodonta africana (African savanna elephant), 1872 nucleotides. RefSeq lists it as uncharacterized. Lineage: Eukaryota; Metazoa; Chordata; Mammalia; Proboscidea; Elephantidae. The record is from RefSeq and is a predicted model, not a curated record. The transcript has 3 exons.
GUAGGCAGGAGAGAAAGGAGCUGAUUUAAUUUCCAUCCUGGGAAACACCUGACCUAGAGGCCCUUUCACUUUCCUUUUGUUCCGCCCCGGGUAGCUGAAUCCAUGCCAGGAGUUCUUUGAGAAGCCUAACAUUUGCUAGAGAUCAGUUUCCAAAAAGGACUUCACUCUUCAGAAGAGAGUGCGAAGGGGCUGAGUGAUCCCUCGCCGGCCAAGAAGCCAGCACUCUUAACGCUGAAAACAACAUUCCCAGAAGCUGGGCUCUCUCUUCCAACACUCAUCACCUCCCAUGUGUGAAGGAAAAACUGUAGCCAGUCUCCAGGAUGAGAAGGAGGGAAGAAUAUUGACCUGUUACCUCAGAAAACUCUGCCCAGUGAGAGGCCUGCCCUUUGGAGAGCCUGCCCUGGUUGCCACUUCGGGGGCUUGCAAACCUGGUUUCUAAGUUCUUGCCUUAGCUUACAGUGGAGUGAAAUGGGAAUUCAGAAACCUUAUGUCAUGAAUUGAUUUAUGUCCCCCCAAAAAUGUGUGUAUCAAUUUGGCUGGGCCGUGAUCUCUAGUAUUGUAAGGUUGUCCUCCAUUUUGUGAUUGUAAUUUUACCUUAAAGAGGAUUAGGGUGGGAUUGUAACACCUUUACCCAGGUCACACCCCUGAUCCAGUGUAAAGGGAGUUUCACUGGGGUGUGGCUUGCACCACCUCUUAUCUUACAAGUGAUAAAAGGAAAGGGAAGCAAGUAUAGAGUGAGGGACCUCCUACCACCAAGAAAGCAGCACCAGAAGCAAAUUGUGUCCUUUGGACAAGGGGUCCCUGUGCCUGAGAAUCUCCUCAAUCAGGGGAAGACUGAGGACAAGGACCUUCCUCCAGAGCCAAUGAAGAGAAAGCCUUCCGCUGGAGCCGAUGCCCUGAAUUUGAACUUUUAGCUUACUUUACUGUGAAGAAAUAAAUUUCUCUUUGUUAAAGCCAUCCACUGGUGGUAUUUCUGUUACAGCAGCACUAGAUGACUAAGACACCUUGUAAUAUAAUCAAUGCUUUAUAACACCUCAUUGGUAUUCAAAUAUAUUUUUUUCUAAGCUUACAUGAUUUUCAUAUCAGUAGAAGACUUCAGAUUUAAUUUUAUUAAAGACAGUUAGCAUCACUUUGAAACAGUAGUUAUUUAUAUGUCAUUCUACCGCCAACAAGAUAUUUGUGUGAGGGGGUAUUUCAGCUGCCACACACAUUCUUAACCGACAUUCAAGUGUAUUAUUGGCUAUCUUGCCCCUAGCAAUCUAUUCUGCCUUAAUGCUUCUAUUCACCAACAGUGCUGAAAGGGACUUGAGGUGUUACAGACACCAAAGGCAGCUAGCCAGAUUAGGCAGAGAAACUGCAGGAAGCGUAGGUUGUGAGAGAAAAGUGAGUGUAGUUCCCCUGAGAUAGGUGUGUGUUAGCGUAACCAUGGUUUUUAAUCUCCUCAGAUACUCUCUAUAACUAUACGUGCCUUGAACAGUAUGUUCAAAAGAAACACGAUAAUAGCUAACAGCUGGACUCUUUCCUAGCACUUUCUUAUCAAGUCCCUUCUAGUUUGCCGCUUCCCAGAACAGAGUAUCUCUGAUGCUUAAGCCCAGAAGCUUGAUUUAUAAACUUAGCGUAGUGAGCCCUGUCAAAAUUUUCUUACCAAUUGGUUUGCACCAUAAAAUAUGUAUAGAGCAGCUAUUGUAUACCAAGAUGACUAAUUUUACCUCACUAGAACUUUCAGUUCGUUAACUUUCUCUUAGCCCUGGGAAUUGUAAUGUAUUGUAUUGUUUUUACCUAGGUAGUUGUCAGGUAGCCAGCUGCCACAGAGAUAGCCAUCUCUAUCUGAUUUCUUUGAGGCUACAAGUCACAUAAUAAAGUGGAAUCCAU